Long non-coding RNA from Ostrinia nubilalis (European corn borer), 113 nucleotides. RefSeq lists it as uncharacterized. NCBI's taxonomy places the organism in Eukaryota, Metazoa, Arthropoda, Insecta, Lepidoptera, Crambidae. The record is from RefSeq and is a predicted model, not a curated record. The transcript has 3 exons.
UCAGAAAGAUAGAAAGGGAAAAGCUGUGUCUGAUACGAGUAUUGUGGUUUCAGAAGUGGAGCGUCGAAAAGAGAAGGUGUUAGUAGUGGAGAAAGGGCCAACCACGCGCGCUG